GAUAAACAAAGAGACGAAUUCAGAAUCUGAGAUAGAGCCCAGGCAGCCUAGCAAUGGAGUAAUGUCAGGAGAGGGGUGGAGACUUUUUGGACCAGGGCUCCUCCCUGAAGCAGCGAACUCAGAGUCAGGACUAAAGGAGCCUCAGUUUUCUAAGUGUAAGGCAAGAAAUCCAAAUACCAGAGCUGUGAGCAGAGGAGUGGACAUAGGCAUUUCCCUAGAAAGCAACAGAGCCCAGUGUCCCCGCGAUGCAGUGGUAGGAGAGAUUAGCAUGUUAAAAACAAAUGAGGUAGAGCUAGAAGCUGCAUCAGGCUGGGUAGGUGGACUCCAUCCAUAAUGCCACACGGAAAGAAAGAUCACUUGUUCUCCCUCACAGCCUGUC
Molecule: long non-coding RNA, 379 nt
Filed under: Rattus norvegicus (Norway rat)
Lineage: Eukaryota; Metazoa; Chordata; Mammalia; Rodentia; Muridae
Description: long non-coding RNA NONRATT028938
Source: RNAcentral